GUAGUCCACGCUGUAAACGAUGAUUACUAGGUGUGGGGGGAUUGAACCCUUCCGUGCCGGAGUUAACACAAUAAGUAAUCCACCUGGGGAGUACGACCGCAAGGUUGAAACUCAAAGAAAUUGACGGGGGCCCGCACAAGCAGUGGAGUAUGUGGUUUAAUUCGACGCAACGCGAAGAACCUUACCAGAUCUUGACAUCGAUUGAAAUCCCUAGAAAUAGGGACCUCCUUUCGGGGACAAGAAGACAGGUGGUGCAUGGUUGUCGUCAGCUCGUGUCGUGAGAUGUUGGGUUAAGUCCCGCAACGAGCGCAACCCCUAUUAUUAGUUGCUACAUUAAGUUGAGCACUCUAAUGAGACUGCCGUUGACAAAACGGA
Molecule: ribosomal RNA, 375 nt
Filed under: uncultured bacterium
Lineage: Bacteria
Description: bacterial SSU rRNA
Rfam family: Bacterial small subunit ribosomal RNA
Source: RNAcentral